RNAcentral lists this transfer RNA (73 nucleotides) under Chloroflexota bacterium. RNAcentral's name for it is "Chloroflexi bacterium tRNA-Leu". It matches the Rfam family "tRNA". Rfam says of the family: Transfer RNA (tRNA) molecules are approximately 80 nucleotides in length. Their secondary structure includes four short double-helical elements and three loops (D, anti-codon, and T loops). The record is from RNAcentral. Lineage: Bacteria; Bacillati; Chloroflexota.
GCCGCCCUAGUCCAACGGCAGAGACGACCGCCUUAAGAGCGGUUCAGUGCGGGUUCGAAUCCCGCGGGCGGCA